GACGAACGCUGGCGGCGUGCUUAACACAUGCAAGUCGAACGGGUCUGCCCUGUUUUUUGCGGGGUGGGUCAGUGGCGAACGGGUGAGUAACACGUGAGUAACCUGCCCCUCACUUCUGGAUAACCGCUUGAAAGGGUGGCUAAUACGGGGUGUUCUGGCUGUGCCGCAUGGUGUGGCUGGGAAAGAUUCACUUUUGUGGUGUUUUGGUGGGGGAUGGGCUCGCGGCCUAUCAGCUUGUUGGUGGGGUGAUGGCCUGCCAAGGCUUUGACGGGUAGCCGGCCUGAGAGGGUGGGCGGUCACACUGGGACUGAGAUACGGCCCAGACUCCUGCGGGAGGCAGCAGUGGGGGGUAUUGCACAAUGGGCGGAAGCCUGAUGCAGCGACGUCGCGUGAGGGAUGGAGGCCUUCGGGCUGUGAACCUCUUUCGCCGGUGAAGAAGGUCCUGCUCUUUGUGGUGGGGUUGACGGUAGCCGGGUUAUGAAGCGCCGGCUAACUACGUG
Molecule: ribosomal RNA, 500 nt
Filed under: uncultured bacterium
Lineage: Bacteria
Description: partial 16S ribosomal RNA
Rfam family: Bacterial small subunit ribosomal RNA
Source: RNAcentral